GACCCUUAUUUGUUGAAUCCAUUCUCCGGUACCCGGAUUCUGCGGAACUUUUCCGGACGUUGUGGGUCAUCACGGCGAUGGCUACAACGUAAUUUGAAGUGAUCACAAAGAUAUAUAGUGCCGUAGCACCGACGCGUUUCAUGACAAUCAAGGAAAUCAAAGAUUGUUUCUUCCACGAGUCCAUUCUGUCAGCGAGUCCCUACUUUCAGGAUAAUGACAAUGUAGCUGUAGCCAUCUACAAUGAUAGAUCAAAGUGGUUCAAUAUUUCAAGGCCAAGAACAUUAUUGUUACUGCUAUAUAGCGAUGUUAUUUGGGUAUCUCAAAAUGGUGCUAGUAAUGUUUAUGCAUUAUCACUAAGUCCCGGAACAGGAUGGUCGAUUCGAAGCAUGGGAUUUCAAGAAAUUACAGAAUGAUUAUAAUGUUCCCCCUCUAAAGAUAAU
This 440-nucleotide long non-coding RNA is filed under the name Citrus maxima (pomelo). RNAcentral's name for it is "long non-coding RNA (CMAX_LNC001157)". The record is from RNAcentral. Lineage: Eukaryota; Viridiplantae; Streptophyta; Magnoliopsida; Sapindales; Rutaceae.